This 303-nucleotide ribosomal RNA is filed under the name uncultured bacterium. Its description in RNAcentral is "bacterial SSU rRNA". It matches the Rfam family "Bacterial small subunit ribosomal RNA", at positions 355 to 672 of the family's 1533-position model. The record is from RNAcentral.
UGGGGGAUAUUGGACAAUGGGGGGAACCCUGAUCCAGCGACGCCGCGUGAGUGAAGAAGUAUUUCGGUAUGUAAAGCUCUGUCAGCAGGGAAGAAAGAAAUGACGGUACCUGACCAAGAAGCCCCGGCUAACUACGUGCCAGCAGCCGCGGUAAUACGUAGGGGGCAAGCGUUAUCCGGAAUUACUGGGUGUAAAGGGAGCGUAGACGGUUAAGUAAGUCUGGAGUGAAAGGCCGGGGCCCAACCCCGGGACUGCUCUGGAAACUAUUGAACUUGAGUGCAGGAGAGGUAAGCGGAAUUCCUA